RNAcentral lists this non-coding RNA (779 nucleotides) under Salamis anteva. Lineage: Eukaryota; Metazoa; Arthropoda; Insecta; Lepidoptera; Nymphalidae. The record is from RNAcentral.
AUAAAAUAAUUAUGUUUUUAAAAAUUUAUUAUAAAUUUAUUUUACAUAUAAAUUUUAGUAUUUAAUAUUAAUUAUUUAAAUAAUAAUUAAUUUAAUUUAUUUGUAGUAAUUAAUAUUAAAAAUUUAAGAAAUUAAGAUUUAGUAAUAUAAGAAUUAAUAACUAAUUUUGUGCCAGCAGUUGCGGUUAAACAAAAGUUAAAUUAAAUUAUUUCAGUUUAUAAUAAAUAAAUAGUUAUCAUUAAAAUAAAUAUUAAAUUAUUAAGUGAAAUUUUAAUUUAAUUAAAUUUUAUUUAAUUUUUAUGAUUUAAUAAAUUUUAAUAUAAACUAGGAUUAGAUACCCUAUUAUUAAAAAUUUAAUUUAUAAUACUAAAAUAGUAAAUAAUAAUUUAUUGAAACUUAAAUAAUAUGGCGGUAUUUUAGUUCAUUUAGAGGAAUCUGUCUAAUAAUUGAUAAUCCACGAAUAAAUUUACUUAAUUUAUAAUUUUGUAUAUCAUUGUUAAAAAAAUAUUUUUUAGUAAAAAUAAUAUUUAAAAUUUAAAAUUAUAAUUUAAAUCAGAUCAAGAUGCAGAGUAUAAUUAAGAAUAUGAUGGAUUACAUUAAAAAUAUUUAAAUGAAUAAUUUUAUUGUAAAAUAAAUUUGAAGGUGGAUUUAAAUGUAAUUUUAAUUAAUUUAUUAAAAUGAUUAUAAAUUAAAAUAUGUACAUAUUGCCCGUCACUUUCAUUUAAAAAUUGAAAUAAGUCGUAACAAAGUAGAAGUACUGGAAAGUGUUUCUAGAAAGA